ACUCCUACGGGAGGCAGCAGUGGGGAAUAUUGCACAAUGGGCGCAAGCCUGAUGCAGCCAUGCCGCGUGUAUGAAGAAGGCCUUCGGGUUGUAAAGUACUUUCAGCAGUGAGGAAGGUGGAUAUGUUAAUAGCAUAUUCAUUUGACGUUUAGCUGCAGAAGAAGCACCGGCUAACUCCGUGCCAGCAGCCGCGGUAAUACGGAGGGUGCGAGCGUUAAUCGGAAUUACUGGGCGUAAAGCGCAUGCAGGUGGUUUGUUAAGUCAGAUGUGAAAGCCCGGGGCUCAACCUCGGAAUUGCAUUUGAAACUGGCAAACUAGAGUACUGUAGAGGGGGGUAGAAUUUCAGGUGUAGCGGUGAAAUGCGUAGAGAUCUGAAGGAAUACCGGUGGCGAAGGCGGCCCCCUGGACAGAUACUGACACUCAGAUGCGAAAGCGUGGGGAGCAAACAGGAUUAGAUACCCUGGUAGCUCUGC
This 473-nucleotide ribosomal RNA is filed under the name uncultured bacterium. RNAcentral's name for it is "bacterial SSU rRNA". It matches the Rfam family "Bacterial small subunit ribosomal RNA", at positions 335 to 798 of the family's 1533-position model. The record is from RNAcentral.